UGCGUAGGCGGUUGCCUAAGUCAGAUGUGAAAUCCCCGGGCUUAACUCGGGUGGUGCAUUUGAAACUGGGCGGCUAGAGUGCAGGAGAGGGAAGCGGAAUUCCUAGUGUAGCGGUGAAAUGCGUAGAUAUUAGGAGGAACACCAGUGGCGAAGGCGGCUUUCUGGACUGUAACUGACGCUGAGGCACGAAAGCGUGGGGAGCAAACAGGACUAGAUACCCUGGUAGUCCACGCUGUAAACGAUGGAUACUAGGUGUAGGGGGCGUAGAGCCUUCUGUGCCGCAGCUAACGCAAUAAGUAUCCCGCCUGGGGAGUACGGCCGCAAGGUUGAA
This 331-nucleotide ribosomal RNA is filed under the name uncultured bacterium. RNAcentral describes it as "bacterial SSU rRNA". It matches the Rfam family "Bacterial small subunit ribosomal RNA", at positions 568 to 898 of the family's 1533-position model. The record is from RNAcentral.